Eurypyga helias (sunbittern) is the source of this 47-nucleotide non-coding RNA. NCBI's taxonomy places the organism in Eukaryota, Metazoa, Chordata, Aves, Eurypygiformes, Eurypygidae. The record is from Rfam.
UAAAAGGCUUUUUUCACAAGCCAUCCAGAUACAUUAGGAAGAUAAAU